RNAcentral lists this long non-coding RNA (189 nucleotides) under Capra hircus (goat). RNAcentral's name for it is "lncRNA (ENSCHIG00010009753.1)". Lineage: Eukaryota; Metazoa; Chordata; Mammalia; Artiodactyla; Bovidae. The record is from RNAcentral.
AAAACGGACAGAGCAUCACUUCGGGGCAAGCAAGCAACCAUGCCAGCAGAAAUAGAAGACACAGCAAUGAAUGACAUCCACUGGAAAGCAUUUAAACAGUUUUCAACAGGGACACAGAAUGGCAGCUAAUCACUGAUUGUAGUGGCAACACUGAUUCAAGGCUCACCAGGACUCAAAAGAAGAAAGGAC